RNAcentral lists this ribosomal RNA (207 nucleotides) under uncultured bacterium. RNAcentral's name for it is "partial 16S ribosomal RNA". It matches the Rfam family "Bacterial small subunit ribosomal RNA", at positions 321 to 522 of the family's 1533-position model. The record is from RNAcentral.
UCGAUAAGCUUGAUCCUNCGGGAGGCAGCAGUAGGGAAUCUUCCGCAAUGGACGAAAGUCUGACGGAGCAACGCCGCGUGAGCGAUGAAGGCCUUCGGGUCGUAAAGCUCUGUUGUUAGGGAAGAACAAGUACCGUUCAAAUAGGGCGGUACCUUGACGGUACCUGACGAGAAAGCCACGGCUAACUACGUGCCAGCAGCCGCGGUA